Long non-coding RNA from Magallana angulata, 999 nucleotides. RefSeq lists it as uncharacterized. The transcript is spliced from 3 exons. Lineage: Eukaryota; Metazoa; Mollusca; Bivalvia; Ostreida; Ostreidae. The record is from RefSeq and is a predicted model, not a curated record.
CUUAGAACUACAUCUCCUGUACCCUAAAUUUAAUAUGGAGAGCUGAUCUGCAACUCCAAAUCAAUACACAUCAACCAAUAGGUGCGUCUUCAGCAAUUAAAUUUUUGUUUCUGCGUCUUUCUUUUCUUUUUAUGAUGCUAUUAACCUCCUCCUCCUCUUCCAGUACAAGAGAAAUGCCAAUAUGAACAAUUACGUUGACAAAACAACUAAAGGGGAAUUUAUUUCUUUGUUUAUAUGAAUAAUUAUACACAUUACUGAUAAUACAUGCUGAAAACAAAAAAUCUCUGAUGUCAUUGUUAAAUCCUUGUGCCAGGGACAGACAGAUAUCAAUUUACCAACUUCAACUAAUUCACGUGUGGUGCAGCAUCAAACAAAGUUUCCCAACCCCCUGAACUGUCAUGUCCACAUUUCAGUGUACCGGGCUUAUACAAGUUCAAGUCUUACGGUGCUCAUGAAAAUGGAAAAAUAAAUACAACUGUAUCCAAUAUAUUCAUAUGACAUGUUUGUAUCUCUACCUACAACUUGUAGGUACAUGUAUGGCUAUCGUUAGCUAAUAAAAACUUUGGUAAGAAAUAAUUUUUAAAAAUUUGAUGAGAGACUGAUUCGCCAAGAAGUUUUUGAUCUUCUGAGAGGUUUAUAAUAUCCAAACUGUAGGGUUAACGUUACAAGACUGAACUUUCUAAAGUUAAUAAUUCAAUUAUUUGGAAGAUAGGAUUAAAUGACGAAGAUUUAACAAUUGAUGUUACAUUGUAUUUAAUCACUAAACUAUCAGUAUGUCAAUUUGCCCUGCAAAAGCACACACGUUAGUAUUAAAAGAUGAAUGGGUGUUUAAAGUCAAAAUAGCCAAAAAUCUAUAUAUUCUGGGCAAUGAUGGAUAUGUUGCCAUAUAGUUCCCACCUCAAAAUAAAGACAAAAGGGUUUUUUUUCGGAAAAAACACAUUGUAAUGUAAUGAUCUAAUGAUACAAUAACAAAAUGUACAAAUCUAUUGAAAAAAUAUA